CAGCACCUCAAGUGGUCAGGAUGAUUAUUGGGCCUAAAGCAUCCGUAGCCUGCUUUGUAAGUUUUCGGUUAAAUCCAUACGCUCAACGUAUGGGCUGCCGGGAAUACUGCAAAGCUAGGGAGUGGGAGAGGUAGACGGUACUCGGUAGGAAGGGGUAAAAUCCUUUGAUCUAUUGAUGACCACCUGUGGCGAAGGCGGUCUACCAGAACACGUCCGACGGUGAGGGAUGAAAGCUGGGGGAGCAGACCGGAUUAGAUACCCGAGUAGUCC
Molecule: ribosomal RNA, 270 nt
Filed under: uncultured archaeon
Lineage: Archaea
Description: partial 16S ribosomal RNA
Rfam family: Archaeal small subunit ribosomal RNA
Source: RNAcentral